GGUACAUCGGUGACAGGUGGUGCAUGGUUGUCGGUCAGCUCGUGUCGUGAGAUGUUGGGUUAAGUCCCGCAACGAGCGCAACCCCUAUUGUUAGUUGCCAUCAUUCAGUUGGGCACUCUAGCGAGACUGCCGGCAAUAAACCGGAGGAAGGUGGGGAUGACGUCAAAUCAUCAUGCCCCUUAUGACCUGGGCUACACACGUGCUACAAUGGUUGGUACAACGAGUUGCGAGUCGGUGACGGCGAGCUAAUCUCUUAAAGCCAAUCUCAGUUCGGAUUGUAGGCUGCAACUCGCCUACAUGAAGUCGGAAUCGCUAGUAAUCGCGGAUCAGCACGCCGCGGUGAAUACGUUCCCAGGCCUU
Molecule: ribosomal RNA, 360 nt
Filed under: uncultured Streptococcus sp.
Lineage: Bacteria; Bacillati; Bacillota; Bacilli; Lactobacillales; Streptococcaceae
Description: bacterial SSU rRNA
Rfam family: Bacterial small subunit ribosomal RNA
Source: RNAcentral